CCUACGGGAGGCAGCAGUGAGGAAUAUUGGUCAAUGGGCGCGAGCCUGAACCAGCCAAGUAGCGUGAAGGAUGACUGCCCUACGGGUUGUAAACUUCUUUUAUAAAGGAAUAAAGUGAGGCACGUGUGCCUUUUUGUAUGUACUUUAUGAAUAAGGAACGGCUAACUCCGUUCCAGCAGCCGCGGUAAUACGGAGGAUCCGAGCGUUAUCCGGAUUUAUUGGGUUUAAAGGGAGCGUAGAUGGGUUGUUAAGUCAGUUGUGAAAGUUUGCGGCUCAACCGUAAAAUUGCAAUUGAUACUGGCAGCCUUGAGUACAGUUGAGGUAGGCAGAAUUCGUGGUGUAGCGGUGAAAUGCGUAGAUAUCACGAAGAACUCCGAUUGCGAAGGCAGCUUACUAAACUGACACUGACAUUGAUGCUCGAAAGUGUGGGUAUCAAACAGGAUUAGAUACCCUGGUAGUC
This 460-nucleotide ribosomal RNA is filed under the name uncultured bacterium. RNAcentral's name for it is "partial 16S ribosomal RNA". It matches the Rfam family "Bacterial small subunit ribosomal RNA", at positions 338 to 795 of the family's 1533-position model. The record is from RNAcentral.